This 327-nucleotide ribosomal RNA is filed under the name uncultured eukaryote. Its description in RNAcentral is "partial 18S ribosomal RNA". It matches the Rfam family "Eukaryotic small subunit ribosomal RNA", at positions 1470 to 1796 of the family's 1831-position model. The record is from RNAcentral.
CCCUUAGAUGUUCUGGGCUGCACGCGCGCUACACUGAAGCGUUCAACGAGUAUUUCACCUUGCCCGGGAGGGUUGGGUAAUCUUUUUAAAACGCUUCGUGAUGGGGAUAGAUUAUUGCAAUUAUUAAUCUUCAACGAGGAAUUCCUAGUAAGCGCGAGUCAUCAGCUCGUGCUGAUUACGUCCCUGCCCUUUGUACACACCGCCCGUCGCUACUACCGAUUGAAUGGCUUAGUGAGGCCCUCGGAUUGAGCCAAGGCUCCUUCACGGGAGCUCUGGAUUGAGAAGUUGGUCAAACUUGGUCAUUUAGAGGAAGUAAAAGUCGUAACA